CUACACCGAAGACCUUUUCUCAGCCUCUACAUCCAAUUCUGUCACGAUGAAGCUGUUGAUUCUGUUCUGUUUUUUGAUUUUAUCUCCUGUCGCCCUAGGAUUUUAUAACAGAGAUCGUUUUAACCGACAUGAUGACGGCGACAAUGAUUUUUCAAGAUGGGGAGGACGACGACGAGAUGGACAUGACAACGACAACUAUUAUGAUGGUGAAGACAACGAUAAUUAUCGCUUCAAUCGUCGUUCUGGAGAUCCCCGAAGAGGCGUUUACGAUGCUCGAUUUGGGUCAAGAUUCGUGUCAAGACCGAGAUUUCCGAGAUUUCGUUACUAAUAAGAAAUUUGUGACGGCUGUUUGAGUAAUGUCGAAAGACUAACAAGUAUACACAUGUAAGAUUAAAGAGCUUUAUAUCACAGAACAAUAAAGCAGUUAAGUGUG
Molecule: long non-coding RNA, 433 nt
Organism: Patella vulgata (common limpet)
Lineage: Eukaryota; Metazoa; Mollusca; Gastropoda; Patellidae
Exons: 7
Source: RefSeq, a predicted model, not a curated record